This is an RNA transcript of Homo sapiens (human), 2972 nucleotides long. It is a transcript of the gene named CTAGE family member 10, pseudogene, with no coding region annotated. The transcript has a single exon. The record is from RefSeq and is marked validated. NCBI's taxonomy places the organism in Eukaryota, Metazoa, Chordata, Mammalia, Primates, Hominidae.
GGCCUGUAAGGCCUGUGGGUUCUCGCGUCCCCCAGCUCCCCCCGCAGCCGGCUCCUCAGUGGUCCGCUCCGGUUGCCAGGUGCGGAUUCUGUUCCUAACUGAAGGCUGAGUGUUCUUCGCCAUUAACUGUGGCCCCGACAGGCCUGGGUUACUGCGGCCACCGCCACAGCAGCCUUGGCGCUAUGGAGGAGCCCGGGGCUACCCCUCAGCCUUACUGGGGGCUGGUCCUGGAGGAGCCACGCAGGGUUGUGGCAGCACUGCCUGAAGGCAGGAGACCAGAUUCGAAUCCUUAUGGAUUUCCAUGGGAAUUGGUGAUAUGUGCAGCUGUCCUUGGAUUUGUUGCUGUUCCCUUUUUCUUGUGGAGAAGUUUUAGAUCGGUUAGGAGUCGGCUUUAUGUGGGAAGAGAGAAAGAGCUUGCUGUAGCGCUUUCUGGACUAAUUGAAGAAAAAUGUAGACUACUUGAAAAAUUUAGCCUUGUUCAAAAAGAGUAUGAAGGCUAUGAAGCAGAGUCACCUUUAGAGGAUGCCAGCUUUGAGAAGGAGGCAACAGAAGCACAAAGUUUGGAGGCAAACUGUGAAAAGCUGAACAGGUCCAAUUCUGAACUGGAGCAUGAAAUACUCUGUCUAGAAAAGGAGUUAAAAGAAGAUAAAUCUAAACAUUCUGAACAAGAUGAGGUGAUGGCGGAUAUUUCCAAAAGGAUACAGUCUCUAGAAGAUGAGUCAAAAUCCCUAAAAUCACUGCUAGCUGAAGCCAAAAUGACCUUCAAGAGAUUUCAAAUGAAUGAAGAACAAAUGAAGAUAGCAAUACAAGAUGCUUUGAAUGAAAAUUCUCAACUUCAGGAAAGCCAGAAACAGCUUUUGCAAGAAGCUGAAGUAUGGAAAGAACAAGUGAGUGAACUUAAUAAACAGAAAAUAACAUUUGAAGACUCCAAAGUACACGCAGAACAAGUUCUAAAUGAUAAAGAAAAUCACAUCGAGACUCUGACUGAACGCUUGCUAAAGAUCAAAGAUCGGGCUGCUAUGCUGGAAGAAGACAUAACAGAUGAUGAAAACUUGGAAUUAGAAAUGAACAGUGAAUCGGAAGAUGGUGCUUACUUAGAUAAUCCUCCAAAAGGAGCUUUGAAGAAACUGAUUCAUACUGCUAAGUUAAAUGCUUCUUUAACAACCUUAGAAGGAGUAAGAAACCAAAUCUAUAUUCAGUUAUCUGAAGUUGAUAAAACCAAGGAAGAGCUUAGAGAGCAUAUUAAAAAUCUUCAGACGGAACAAGCAUCUUUGCAGUCAGAAAACACAUAUUUUGAAAGUGAGAAUCAGAAGCUUCAACAGAAACUUAAGGUAAUGACUGAAUUAUAUCAAGAAAAUGAAAUGAAACUCUACAGGAAAUUAAUAGUAGAGGAAAAUAACCGGCUAGAGAAAGAGAAAUUUUCUAAAGUAGACGAAAUGAUCAGCCAUGCCACUGAGGAGCUGGAGACCUACAGAAAGCGAGCCAAAUAUCUUGAAGAAGAACUUGAGAGAACUAUUCAUUUUUAUCAAGGGAAGAUUAUAUACCAUGAGAAAAAAGCACAUGAUAAUUGUUUGGCAGCACAGACCGCUGAAAGAAACCUCAAUGAUUUAAGGAAAGAAAAUGCUCACAACAGACAAAAAUUAAUUGAAACAGACUUUAAAAUUAAAUUUUUAGAAAAAGAUCCUUAUGCACUUGAUGUUCCAAACACAGCAUUUGGCAGAGAGCAUUCCUCAUAUGGUCCCUCACCAUUGGGUCGGCCUUCAUCUGAAACGAGAGCUUUUCUCUAUCCUCCAACUUUGUCGGAGGGUCCACUCAGACUCUCACCUUUCCCUCCAGGGGGAGGAGGAAGAGGCCCAAGAGGCCCAGGGAAUCCUCUGGACCACCAGAUUACCAGUGAAAGAGGAGAAUCAAGCUGUAAUAGGUUUACUGAUCCUCACAAGGCUCCUUCUGACACUGGGCCCCUGUCACCUCCGUGGGAACAGGACCGUAGGAUGAUGUUUCCUCCACCAGGACAAUCAUAUCCUGAUUCAGCUCUUCCUCCACAAAGGCAAGACAGAUUUUAUUCUAAUUGUGCUAGACGCUCUGGACCAGCAGAACUCAGAAGUUUUAAUAUGCCUUCUUUGGAUAAAAUGGAUGGGUCAGUGCAUUCAGAAAUGGAAUUCAGUGGAAAUGAUACCAAAGAUAAUCUUGGUAAUUUAAAUGUGCCUGAUUCAUCUCUCCCCGCUGAAAGUGAAGCAACUGGCCCUGGCUUUGUUCCUCCACCUCUUGCUCCAAUCAGAGGUCCGUUGUUUCCAGUGGAUACGAGGGGCCCGUUCAUGAGAAGAGGACCUCCUUUCCCUCCACCUCCUCCAGGAACCAUGUUUGGAGCUUCUCCAGAUUAUUUUCCACCAAGGGAUGUCCCAGGUCCACCACGUGCUCCAUUUGCAAUGAGAAAUGUCUGUCCACUGAGGGGUUUUCCUCCUUACCUUCCCCCAAGACCUGGAUUUUCCCCCCCUACCCGCACAUUCUGAAGGUAGAGUGAGUUCCCUUUAGGGUUGAGUCUGCCUUCAAAUGAGCCUGCUGCUGAAGAUCCAGAACCAUGGCAAGAAACUUGACAAUAUUUUUGCUCUCUUCAAAAGUCAUUUUGACUAUUCUCAUUUUCAGUUGAAGUAACUGUUGUUACUUCAGUGAUUACACUUUUGCUCAUAUUCAAACUUAAUGGAAUUAUAAUUCUCAGGAUAGUAUUUUGUAAAUAAAGAUGAUUUAAAUAUGAAUCUUAUGAGUAAAUUAUUUCCAUAUCAUUUUAUUCUAGAUAGUAUAACUAUUUUAAUUUGUUUAACUAAUCCACUAUUAUAUAAACAACAGUGGGAGAUUUAUAGAUGUAAUCUUGCAGGUGGGGAGGCUUUACAUUUGAAAGGCCAUGGCAUUAUGCCAAGAACUGUAUUUACUGUGGUUGUAGACAAAUGUGAAAGUAACUUUAUGCUUAAUUAAAU